This 254-nucleotide ribosomal RNA is filed under the name uncultured bacterium. RNAcentral describes it as "partial 16S ribosomal RNA". It matches the Rfam family "Bacterial small subunit ribosomal RNA", at positions 524 to 776 of the family's 1533-position model. The record is from RNAcentral.
UACGUAGGGUGCGAGCGUUAUCCGGAAUCAUUGGGCGUAAAGAGCUCGUAGGCGGUUCAGCAAGUCGGCUGUGAAAGCCCGAGGCUCAACCUCGGAACUGCAGUCGAUACUGCUGUGACUCGAGUCCGGUAGAGGAGAACGGAAUUCCAGGUGUAGCGGCGAAAUGCGCAGAUAUCGGGAGGAACACCAGUAGCGAAGGCGGUUCUCUGGGCCGGCACUGACGCUGAGGAGCGAAAGCGUGGGGAGCAAACAGG